AUUACUCACGUAGCUCUGCGGCGAGCUUCCAUUCUCUGUGCAGACAAGAACGUGCCUGUAUCACUCUGGCGGUGCCUCGCUUUCCCUCUGCUGUUGCCAGCGUGGUUCUGCGUGAGAGACAGAGGAGAAAAACAGAGUGACGUGGAGAGAAAAAAAGAUGGAGAAACAGUUAAAAAGUUGUGCUGCACUCUCUCAGGUGGCUUCAGCCCACAGCUCUUCACAAGUUAUGACGCUCUUCGACUCAUUACCACUGCCAAAUGAAGAUCAUUUAAUUACAUUAUUAUGCAGUUUGACUCAUUCAGGCCGAUCUGUGGACUGGUUGCAUAUAACUCAUUGAUAGUCGUAUGGAGGCCUCCUGUCAAGCUGCUGUCACGGCAGGGGAGCAGCCAAUCUAUCACACCAUCGAGACACAUUCUUCUCACCUGCUCUGCGCCGGCACCGUGCCGUACCGGCCCUUUAAUGAACAGCCAACAUGAUCCCAGCUGACAAGCAGGAAAUGGAUGCAAUAAAGAUUGUUUCUGCAUGCUCUUUGCAUUCCUGAUAAAUCACCUUACUGUUCGACAGACACCAGCCAGCGCCGCACACAAAUCUGAUUUCACGCCGAGGGAGAGACACUGAGGGAAGGGGCAUCGGGCCAAGAGGGGUCAGUUCAAUUUAAAUGCAGACUGGCUCAGACACGGAGCCCAUGCAACCGCUGAUUGCAUGUGUGUGUGUGGUGGGAAGCCCUGUGUGAUGGACCCGUGACACACCUCGCACCUCACAUCAUUUCUUUGGACGCAGCGGGCGGCAGCUCGCAUACACCUGCAGCUUGAAGUCCAGGUGAGGGGGUUUAUCAGUCAAGCAGACCUGCUCUGUCCGCCAGAACGCUUUACUCUCUGCAGCUCUGCAGAUGAUACAGUCACACGUCGGCCCUGCAACCUUGGACACUGCACUGUAAUGAAAGAUGAAAGCAGGAGAGGCGCACGAAGGGCGGAGAGAACAGGGAGGGGGGCGUGAGGUGUGGGGAUGUAGUGAGAGAUGAGGAAGAGAUGCAGAUCUCUGGGCGGGUAAUUUGCGAUCUAAUCUUAUGCAGCCCGUGCCUGCUGUAAGUCAGAGUAGGG
Sinocyclocheilus rhinocerous is the source of this 1100-nucleotide long non-coding RNA. RefSeq lists it as uncharacterized. The record is from RefSeq and is a predicted model, not a curated record. Lineage: Eukaryota; Metazoa; Chordata; Actinopteri; Cypriniformes; Cyprinidae. The transcript is spliced from 4 exons.